RNAcentral lists this long non-coding RNA (223 nucleotides) under Gossypium raimondii (Peruvian cotton). RNAcentral describes it as "long non-coding RNA (GRAI_LNC000743)". Lineage: Eukaryota; Viridiplantae; Streptophyta; Magnoliopsida; Malvales; Malvaceae. The record is from RNAcentral.
AAAAUUUUAUGGUAAGUAGGAAUAUGAGUCUAGUUUCAGGGAAAAUUUACGGAUUUAAAUUUUGAGUUUCGUAACUCAAGUUAUAAUUAAAUUAGUGACAGUUGCGCAGGUGGACAGUUUUGUUGUGAACAGUGAAUUUAAUUUUAAAAGCAAAUUUUUAUGCUCCGAAUCGGUAAGUUAAAUUGGAUGACAUCUCGUACUCGAUUCCGGCGACGGUCUUGGG